UGGGGAAUUUUGGACAAUGGGGGAAACCCUGAUCCAGCCAUCCCGCGUGUGCGAUGAAGGCCUUCGGGUUGUAAAGCACUUUUGGCAGGAAAGAAACGUCAUGGGUUAAUACCCCGUGAAACUGACGGUACCUGCAGAAUAAGCACCGGCUAACUACGUGCCAGCAGCCGCGGUAAUACGUAGGGUGCAAGCGUUAAUCGGAAUUACUGGGCGUAAAGCGUGCGCAGGCGGUUCGGAAAGAAAGAUGUGAAAUCCCAGAGCUCAACUUUGGAAAUGCAAUUUUAACUACCGGGCUGGAGUGUGGCAGAGGGAGGUGGAAUUCCGCGUGUAGCAGUGAAAUGCGUAGAUAUGCGGAGGAACACCGAUGGCGAAGGCAGCCUCCUGGGAUAACACUGACGCUCAUGCACGAAAGCGUGGGGAGCAAACAGG
Molecule: ribosomal RNA, 429 nt
Filed under: Acidobacteriota bacterium
Lineage: Bacteria; Pseudomonadati; Acidobacteriota
Description: Acidobacteria bacterium partial 16S ribosomal RNA
Rfam family: Bacterial small subunit ribosomal RNA
Source: RNAcentral